This 460-nucleotide ribosomal RNA is filed under the name uncultured bacterium. RNAcentral describes it as "partial 16S ribosomal RNA". It matches the Rfam family "Bacterial small subunit ribosomal RNA", at positions 338 to 795 of the family's 1533-position model. The record is from RNAcentral.
CCUACGGGGGGCAGCAGUGAGGAAUAUUGGUCAAUGGACGAGAGUCUGAACCAGCCAAGUAGCGUGAAGGGUGACUGCCCUAUGGGUUGUAAACUUCUUUUAUAUGGGAAUAAAACGUUCCACGUGUGGGAUUUUGUAUGUACCAUAUGAAUAAGGAUCGGCUAACUCCGUGCCAGCAGCCGCGGUAAUACGGAGGAUCCGAGCGUUAUCCGGAUUUAUUGGGUUUAAAGGGAGCGUAGGUGGAUUGUUAAGUCAGUUGUGAAAGUUUGCGGCUCAACCGUAAAAUUGCAGUUGAAACUGGCAGUCUUGAGUACAGUAGAGGUGGGCGGAAUUCGUGGUGUAGCGGUGAAAUGCUUAGAUAUCACGAAGAACUCCGAUUGCGAAGGCAGUUCACUGGACUGCAACUGACACUGAGGCUCGAAAGUGUGGGUAUCAAACAGGAUUAGAUACCCCAGUAGUC